CCAAAAGAAAAAGAAAUCAACAAAUAACAAGGACUAGUUAUUUUUUCUCUCUCGACGAGAAUUGGUUAGAUAACUAAGUAAAUUGUACUUGAACUGUCUCUUUUCUAGAUUUUAUGUAGACUGCUGUCUUCUCUCUCUGCCUGCAUUAUUACAUCAUCUGUGUAUGUCCUUUCUUCAUCUGAACAUACAUAUUCAUAACAAGUUACCACUCACAAGUCUAAAGAUAAUUUCCUGACUGAUUACAUUUUGCAUGGGCUCCUUCUUGAAUAAAGGGCACUUUGUCAUAAGUGAGCUAGCUUCCUCCAAAAUAGACUUCUGGGUAUGCAACUUCUCGGCCAUUUCGUGUGGAAACUGAUAACCAGUUUUUGUUUGAGUCCUCCACAGAACUCUUGUCCCUAAGUUGGGGGCUCACUUUACUUUUGCACCAGGAACCACCAACAUCCCAGCCUGCUCACCUCCACAGUGGUCCUGGGUUCCUGGCCUGGGCAGGCUUCCUCCACGUUCCUCACACCCUUCCCUUAUCUGUGGGGUGCCGUAGACAGAAUGCCUAGAGCCACAAUGCUUUUACAUAUCUCCAAAAACAGGUUUUCAUUUCUUUCAAAAUCAAAAGAAGGCCAGGGCAGGGCGCGGUGGCUUAUGCCUGUAAUCCCAGCACUUUGGGAGACUGAAGCAGGUGGAUCACUUGAGAUCAGGAGCUUGAGACUACCCUGGCCAACAUGGUGAAAUCCCACCUCUACUAAAAGUACAAAAAUUAGCUGGGCAUGGUGGCACGUGCCUGUAGUCCCAGCUACUUGGGAGGCAAAGGUUGCAAUGAGCUGAGAUCAUGCCACUGUCCUCCAGCCUGGGCAACAGAGUGAGACCUCAUCUCAAAAAAAAAAAAAAAGGAGGGGGGGCCAGGUGGCUCACACCUGUAAUCCCAGUGCUUUGGGAGGCCGAGGUGGGAGGAUCACUUGAGUCCAGGAGUUCAAGGUUGCAGUGGCACAAUCAGAACUCACUGUACUCCAGCCUGGGCAACAGAGAGAGCCUGUUUCUAAAAACUAAAAAAAAAAAAAAAAUUUGUUAACUCGGAGAACAAGUUUUAAUACAUAACAUUAAUAUAUUUAUCUGUAUACUAAUGCAGUUGUAAAAUAUAAUUUUUAAUACUUUUUUGUGGAAGAAGAGGUGCAUGAAGGCAAAGGAGUCUGGGGCUCAUGAAAACCUUUGAGUAAGAUGGGGUCAGGCCCUUCGACCUCUCCUUCUGGAGCCCAUAUAUUGUUUCGGGCUUGCUUUUCCUCCCUCAUCAUUUAGAGUGUUUAUUUAGAUUUCCUCUUUAACCUUUCUCAUUGUUCUGAAAGUACAGGAUAUGACGUGGCUCAGUGACUAGAAUGGACCUCUAUUAUUUCCAUUCCCAGAGUAUAAAUAUCCAAACUGCUUCAACCUGAUAGGAAUAGUCAAAAGCAGACAAUCAUCUCGGCUACUGCAGGCUUUCCUCUUUGGAACCCACCUAUGGUCAUCCUGUCAGUCUGACAUGAAUCUGGUCACUGGGGUAGGUGCUGUUCCAAGGCCCAAACUUUGCUGGCAGGAACAGACUAAAGAACUGAGCAGCGCUGACGCUGCUGUCACUGCAUGCCACAUCCUCUUCACGGCCCUCGAUACCCUGGGGACACUGACACCAGAGGAAGUUUUAAAAACAGCCUGUGUCUGAAUUAUCCAAGAACAAACAGAAAAGACUUGCUUGGCUAAAAUCAACAGGGUUUGAUGUUACAACUGCAGUUGAAAGGCUUAAAUCGGUUCUCUUUAAAGCAGCAGGCACCCCCAGACAUCUUAUGGGUGAUUCCUUUUCUUUUCUGUAACGCAUUCGAACAAAACUCAGGUAACUUUAGAAGGUAUAUGAUAUGCAAAUUUAUAGACCUUCCAGUUGUUUCCAUCUGAGUCCCCUUUUCAGGCUUUUUAUCUCUGCUUCCCCUUGCUCCCCAAUCAGGAUCCUCUCCUCUCAGCUCUUCUUUCCCAUUCCACUCUCCUAAAUGCAAUCACAGGAUGAGUCAAGGGGAAGCAAAAUAAAUACUGCAGCUGCUUUCUCUCUUUGUUUUUACAGAAAAGUCUGUGUGGCUGCUUUUGAAGAAGAAAGCUGCUUUCGAUUAUGUAAGAUGAUGCUCUCUUUGGUAAAAGUUUUGGUCUGGUCUCAAGAGACUUGGCUUUUUUUUUUUUUCUUUUUGAGACGGAGUCUUGCUCUGUUGCCCAGGCUGGAGUGCAGUGGCAUGAUCUCGGCUUGCUGCGACCUCCACCUCCCAGGUUCAAGCAAUUCUCCUGCUUCAGCCUCCCGAGUAGCUGGGAUUACAGGCUCACAAUACCACACCCAGCUAAUUUUUGUAUUUUUAGUAGAGACGGGGUUUCACCAUGAUGACCAGGCUGGUCUUGAACUCCUGACCUCAGGUG
This 2415-nucleotide long non-coding RNA is filed under the name Homo sapiens (human). RNAcentral's name for it is "non-protein coding lnc-DDX47-1:1". Lineage: Eukaryota; Metazoa; Chordata; Mammalia; Primates; Hominidae. The record is from RNAcentral.